RNAcentral lists this ribosomal RNA (293 nucleotides) under Giardia duodenalis. RNAcentral describes it as "Giardia intestinalis partial 16S ribosomal RNA". It matches the Rfam family "Eukaryotic small subunit ribosomal RNA", at positions 1 to 382 of the family's 1831-position model. The record is from RNAcentral. Lineage: Eukaryota; Fornicata; Diplomonadida; Hexamitidae.
CAUCCGGUCGAUCCUGCCGGAAUCCGACGCUCUCCCCAAGGACACAAGCCAUGCAUGCCCGCGCACCCGGGACGCGGCGGACGGCUCAGGACAACGGUUGCACCCCCCGCGGCGGUCCCUGCUAGCCGGACACCGCUGGCAACCCGGCGCCAAGACGUGCGCGUAAGGGCGGGCGCCCGCUGGCGAGCAGCGUGACGCAGCGACGGCCCGCCCGGGCUUCCGGGGCAUCACCCGGUCGGCGCGGUCGCGGCGCGCCGAGGGCCCGACGCCUGGCGGAGAAUCAGGGUUCGACU